Long non-coding RNA from Tetranychus urticae (two-spotted spider mite), 1856 nucleotides. RefSeq lists it as uncharacterized. The record is from RefSeq and is a predicted model, not a curated record. NCBI's taxonomy places the organism in Eukaryota, Metazoa, Arthropoda, Arachnida, Trombidiformes, Tetranychidae.
AAUUAAUAUCUGUUUGAAUGGUUACUCUAUUGAUUCUGAGUUAUUUUAAAAUGUUUCCCUUUUUAUCACCACAAUUGUGUCCAUUGUAUACAAAAGUGUUACUUCUGUUUUUUUUCACAACUUAUUCUAUUUCAAGAGCAAUUUUUAGUUUAUUGAAUGUAAAAUGGAGGGAUCUAAUUUUUGUUUACCAAGUUAAAUCACGUCACAAGUUGGAGACCAAAUCAACAUUUAAAUGUUCAUUUUAAAUUAGAUUAGUUUGGUAGACUUGCGUUUAAGCCACAGUCAACAAAAGCCAAAGCUUGAUUUAAGGAAGGACUAACAGGACAUUUACUGCUGCUCAUCCAAUGACAGUUGCUAUUGUCUUGAUGGAAGCUCAUGGGAGUGAAGGAGUAUCACAAAACCAAGGUCAUUAUCGAUCAGAACCAUGGAAUAAGAGAAAAGGGUUUACUAAAGAUGAUGGAGGUUAAGCCUCAAAACUCAAGUUCUUGAACAUGAUACAUCACCAUUUCUAACUUCUGAUUGAUGCUUGGAAUCAGAUAAGACGAUCUUAUUGUGAGCUAUUUUCAGCCUGUCAAUGUUUACCAUCUAUUUUGAAUCUCAUUGUUCAAUAUGUGUUACGUGGAUUAUCUGGUCGCCUGACAGUUGAAAUUUUUCCUUCCUCUUCUCAACACCAGUGUCAUAAUGACAAAUUAUUCUAGGCUGAUACACAAUGAAUCAUCCUUUACCCAUACCGAACCAGCUCUCAACCCAUUCUGGUGAACAAGAUACACUUCUCUUUUUUAGGCAAACAAAAAAAGUCAACCAGCUUUACUCGGUUUACUUUUCACCUUACUGAAUAAGGCUUACUCUGAAUCAUUACAUAGAGUCAUCAUUACAUGGAGUGAAACCUUUUAUAGUUGAUUGACUGCUGUAAAAUUGUCAUUCCCAUCUUUGUUAUUGAAAUAAAUUUGUUGAUAAAACAAUGAGACUGAUUUUACCAUUUGGAUGAACAUCCUUAUCCAAUGAGUUGGGAAGCUUCUGUAGCUGGAAAUUGACGGUCCAUUCAAGUCUCGAUUUAUGUAUUGGUCAAUGAAUAUUAAAAUUGGAGUGAAAUACUUCCUACCAACAAUAAUCUGUCCAAUCAUAAAUAUUAUCAUCUAUUUAUUUUUAUUCAUGCUGGAUCAACAAUGUUACAGAACAUUUAACAGCAUCUUCUGUAACAACAUAAUCAUUAUCAUGGCCAUUAUUGUUACAGCCAUUGCUAUUAAUAUUUGACCUUCCUUCGUUUAAAUUAUACCAACAAUUUAAUCAACUUAGGAUGUUUCAACAGUUUUUAUGGAUUUUACCAGCUCUUCCGACAUUGUCUAUCUUGCUUUGUUUUGCCUGUUACUAAAAAAGCUAUCACCAUCAAAGACACAGUUUGCAUCAACUUGGAUUGAGAUGGAACAAGGAAACAAUAUUAUAAUAAUUUACGUCAACUAUUAAUAGAAAUGUCAAUGUAAUUGAUUUGAAUCAAUGUUUGUUCGUUGCAAAUCAUUCAAUUUGACUCAUGGAUUUUCACCAAAAACAAGAUCAAAAUGAAUUGCUAAAAGCUAUGUUGAUUGCAAGCAUUGAAACUCCGGUUUUGGUCAACAUCCAACUCUUUGAAUUGAAGCAAUCAUCUAAUCGUUGCUAACAGUUUGGAUUUUGAAUCAACAAUUUAAUACAAUUUGCCUGCAGAUGUACAAUAAUUAGUCUAAAAACUGAAGCUUCAGAUUGUUUACGUUGUAAGAUUGUCUCUUCAACUCAUUCAAAUUUCAUCAAUUCAUCUAAAUAUAUUAUUAUGUAAAGCUAAAGUUGCUGAAAAUGUAUUAAAUUGCUGUCUAAUAUUUUAUUAA